This is an RNA transcript of Toxorhynchites rutilus septentrionalis, 2816 nucleotides long. It is a transcript of the gene named tetraspanin-13, with no coding region annotated. The transcript is spliced from 6 exons. The record is from RefSeq and is a predicted model, not a curated record. NCBI's taxonomy places the organism in Eukaryota, Metazoa, Arthropoda, Insecta, Diptera, Culicidae.
CGUGAGGAAAACUUGCGAGGCAACAGCAGCAGCUGCUGCAGAAAAGCUAUUCGUGAAACAGUGUGCGAAGACAAAGGUGGAAAGGAUCUGGCAAAGCAGAAAGACGGGAGGAAAAAAAUACACAUAUUGCAGGAUUUUCCAAAUUUCUUAGAAGUGGAAGUGGCGAGGUUGAUUGAUUUUUUUUUCUGGUGGAGAAAAAUUAGCAAAUCUGACCGAAAACAUGUGCGGGGGCUUUAGUUGUUCCAAAAAUGCACUGAUUGCGCUGAACAUCCUCUAUGUCAUGGUUGGCUUCCUGCUGAUCGGGGUUGGUGUAUAUGGGCGCGCCUCUUCUAUCGUGACCAACCUCCCGAUCAUCGGUGGUAUCCUGGCAUGUGGCGUAAUUCUUAUCCUUAUCUCGGUUCUGGGAUUGAUUGGGGCUGUGAAACAUCACCAAGUGAUGCUGUUCUUCUAUAUGAUCAUAUUGUUUAUGCUGUUCCUGAUCCAGUUCUCGAUUGCUUGUUCCUGCCUGGCGGUGAACCAGGAACAGCAGAGAGAAUUUGCGGAGCAGGGCUGGUCGUUGGCCCCCGCGGAGAUCAAGCAGCAGGUACAGGAAGAGUUUAUUUGCUGUGGAUUCAAUUCGACAAUGACUGAGGAUCAUCCGUCUUGUGCGUCCGUAAAUACCAUGUGUUGCCAUGAUCGCGCUCCAGAGAACUGUCAGUGUCCUCCCUGCAUGCCCAAGCUGGAGAGCACCAUUGAUUACGCGUUCCAUCUGUCGGGAGGCAUUGGACUAUUUUUCAGCUUCACAGAGACAAUGGGUCGUGAUAAACGUUGGAGUCCCGAUGAAAGACGGCUGUUAAAAAUCUGCGAUGUGAAACUAAAACUUUUAAAGAAAUAGCAGAAACCGUCGGAUGCUCACAGAAAAUAGUUACAAGUGUCCAGAAAUAUCGGAAGAAAUCAGAAACACGAGGACAGAAAAGGAAAACUGGUUCUAGGAAUGACCGCCGAAUACUGAAAUUGGUGAAAAAAGAUCCUUUCCUUACAUCUACAGCCAUUAAAAAUAAUCUUGGACUGGAAGUGACAACCAGAACAAUCCAGAGCCGCUUGAUUGAUUGUAAAUAACGUGUUAGUGCUGCCGGAAAAACUCCUUUUGUAUUGAAAAGAAAUCAUAAAAAAGACUGGUAUUCGCUGACAUCAUCUGGAAAAUCUCAAACUACCUGCAGCCAGCUAUUUCAGAAAUGUGCUAUGGAGUGACGAAGCAAAAGUGAAUUUUUCUCUCCCCAAUACACGAAUAAGACCAUCAAGCAUGGCGGGAUGAAUUAUGAUCAUCGCUGUGUUCCUCACACGUCGCUACCGGAAUCAACAGGAUCCGGACCAUCUGCCGGCACGGGCGAUAUUUCCCCAGAGCAACUACGUGUACUGAGCGGAUCACGGUUCGGUCGAAUGUCAGGAAAAACCGUCAGGGAGAGUCAGACUGCUUCGGUUAUAAGAUGGGUGUGCGUAAACAGGUCUCAAAACCAAAAUUUCUUUUGUUUAUCACGCCGCCGCCGCCGUAUACUAUUGACCUGUUUGAACCCCAAAAAAAUUAUGUAUGAAAAAAGAAUGAAGAUAAUACUCAUUUUGUCGCUCCUCUAGGAUUAGGUUUUGUAAGGAAAGGUUGUGCUAACUCUAGAUCCGCCGAUUUUUUUUUUAUUUUAAGUAGACCAUUUUUAAAGAGAGGCAAAACUAAAUGCGCGAUCGUUUGUAUAUUUCAGCAGUUCAGAAGCUAAACCUAAUGAACUUAAUUAAUACUUUAAGUAGUCUGUUUAUUGCAACCAUGGUUGAACAAAGAUUCUCUCUAAUAAGUUUAUAUAGUGACUAUUGAAUAGAGUUCAAAUUCGAACAAUGAGUAGUCAAUAAUGGUUCGAUACUUUUAACAUCAUAUAUGUGUUGUUAUCCAUCAAGUGAUCUCCCAUACAUAAAGUGUGAAGUAAAUCUUCUCCUUUAGCACAUCUAUUGAGACGCACGUGGUUCACGUUAACGGUAUAUCCUUUACACAAUAUGUGUAUACGUAAAAUCUAUAAAUCCUUAAGUUAGCAGCUUUGGUUCGAAUAUCUCGAAACAUUUUUUUUAUUAUUUUGUGAUAUAAAACAUAGCUAUCAGGCCAGUUGCAGAAGAAUGUUUCCUCUUGCUUAAAGGCACCCAACCACAGAAUAUAGGUUCCGGGUGCGAUGCUCUUUGCUUCCACAGAGACGCACAGCCCUAUUCUGUAUUCCGACGGAUUUACAUUUCGUUCGAAACCGUUAUUUCGUUCGAGUUUUAAUUUCGCAUUCCCUAUUUCGAACGUUUUGCCCAUUCAAUGUUUGAAGAGAAACAGAUCGAACGAAAUGCAAAAACAACUCGAACGAAAUACAGAAUGGAAUUUUAUCAAGUCGUUCGAAAUAUUUCGACUCGAUCGAAAUGCAGAAUAGGGGUGGCAAACAAGUUGACGCAAUUUUGAAUGUAUGUAUUUUUGAAUCCAAUACACGAACACACGUAUUUAUUCAAGCACUUCACGAUAGUAUACAUUUAUAUAUACAUAUUUACGACAUAUUCGAGAAGCAGCACCAGGAGCAGCCGACCGCAGAUUAAAUAUCCUCGAAAUGGAAUUUUUGUUUCCCAUCCAAAUUUCACUGAGUUCGAUUCAUCGCGCAGAGAGUAUUCAACCAAUAUCAAUUGUGCAACAUGUAUUCUGUAUUUGGCUGACUGGUUGGGAAAUGUGUGCGCUGCUAAAAGAUCACGAAACUGUUAGUCAAAAGAAUGUGGAUUCUAGUGUGUAGAAAUAAAGGUGAAAUCAAGGUAUGUAAACUGUGAAACGUCAA